This 253-nucleotide ribosomal RNA is filed under the name uncultured bacterium. Its description in RNAcentral is "partial 16S ribosomal RNA". It matches the Rfam family "Bacterial small subunit ribosomal RNA", at positions 524 to 776 of the family's 1533-position model. The record is from RNAcentral.
UACGGAGGGGGCAAGCGUUAUUCGGAUUUACUGGGCGUAAAGCGCACGCAGGCGGCAUGGUAAGUCAAAGGUGAAAGCCCUCGGCUCAACCGAGGAACUGCCUUUGAGACUGCUUUGCUUGAGUCCGGGAGGGGGGAGCGGAAUUCCCAGUGUAGCGGUGAAAUGCGUAGAUACUGGGAGGAACACCGGUGGCGAAGGCGGCUCCCUGGACCGGUACUGACGCUGAGGUGCGAAAGCGUGGGUAGCAAACAGG